This is a long non-coding RNA of Erinaceus europaeus (western European hedgehog), 366 nucleotides long. RefSeq lists it as uncharacterized. Lineage: Eukaryota; Metazoa; Chordata; Mammalia; Eulipotyphla; Erinaceidae. The record is from RefSeq and is a predicted model, not a curated record. The transcript has 7 exons.
GAAUAAAAAGUAAGCAGUUCCUGGCCUAUGCUAUUUCAGUUAAAGGUGUCUGACUGACAGCAUGUUGGCACCAGCAUUGAAGGAAAUGAUGAGCUUCAGCUCCAGGUUCCUGUCCUGAGACCACAGAAGGAUGUGCCUUGGAUUUAGGCUUGAACUCCUGGAUCAUUUGGCGACACCAAAAAUCUGGUCUCAGGGUGGAGAACUUUUGCUUUGAAUUUCUAACCUGGAGCUAUGGUGAUGGUGCCAGUCAAUUAACUGAACAACUGUGGGUUGGUUCCUUUGUUCCUCUUCCACUAAGUCCUUGAGGUUUUUAACUUCUUGAGGCCAGUGACUGUGUCUGAAAAUUAUAGGGUGGCGAAAACAAGG